Molecule: non-coding RNA, 20 nt
Filed under: Arabidopsis thaliana (thale cress)
Lineage: Eukaryota; Viridiplantae; Streptophyta; Magnoliopsida; Brassicales; Brassicaceae
Source: RNAcentral
UUUGGGUGCUGUGUAUGUCA